UACGUAGGGAGCAAGCGUUGUCCGGAUUUACUGGGUGUAAAGGGUGCGUAGGCGGCUCUGCAAGUCAGGCGUGAAAGCUAUGGGCUUAACCCAUAGACUGCGUUUGAAACUGUGGAGCUUGAGUGAAGUAGAGGUAGGCGGAAUUCCCGGUGUAGCGGUGAAAUGCGUAGAGAUCGGGAGGAACACCAGUGGCGAAGGCGGCCUACUGGGCUUUAACUGACGCUGAGGCUCGAAAGCGUGGGGAGCAAAC
RNAcentral lists this ribosomal RNA (250 nucleotides) under uncultured bacterium. RNAcentral describes it as "partial 16S ribosomal RNA". It matches the Rfam family "Bacterial small subunit ribosomal RNA", at positions 524 to 773 of the family's 1533-position model. The record is from RNAcentral.